GUGGGUGUGCCGGAGUGGUUAUUGGGCAUGACUAGAAAUCAUGUGAGAUUUGCCCGCGCAGGUUCGAAUCCUACUGCUCACU
This is a transfer RNA of Ipomoea nil (Japanese morning glory), 82 nucleotides long. It matches the Rfam family "tRNA". From Rfam's summary of the family: Transfer RNA (tRNA) molecules are approximately 80 nucleotides in length. Their secondary structure includes four short double-helical elements and three loops (D, anti-codon, and T loops). Further hydrogen bonds mediate the characteristic L-shaped molecular structure. tRNAs have two regions of fundamental functional importance: the anti-codon, which is responsible for specific mRNA codon recognition, and the 3' end, to which the tRNAs corresponding amino acid is attached (by aminoacyl-tRNA synthetases). tRNAs cope with the degeneracy of the genetic code in two manners: having more than one tRNA (with a specific anti-codon) for a particular amino acid; and 'wobble' base-pairing, i.e. permitting non-standard base-pairing at the 3rd anti-codon position. NCBI's taxonomy places the organism in Eukaryota, Viridiplantae, Streptophyta, Magnoliopsida, Solanales, Convolvulaceae. The record is from Rfam.